GAUGAACGCUAGCGGCAGGCUUAAUACAUGCAAGUCGAGGGGCAGCAGGACUGUAGCAAUACAGUUGCUGGCGACCGGCAAACGGGUGCGGAACACGUACACAACUUUCCUUUAAGUGGGGAAUAGCCCGGGGAAACCCGGAUUAAUACCCGUAACAUUAUGAAGUGGCAUCAUUUUAUAAUUAUAGCUCAGGCGCUUAAAGA
RNAcentral lists this ribosomal RNA (203 nucleotides) under uncultured bacterium. RNAcentral's name for it is "partial 16S ribosomal RNA". It matches the Rfam family "Bacterial small subunit ribosomal RNA", at positions 28 to 225 of the family's 1533-position model. The record is from RNAcentral.